GACCUCAGUUCGGGUGAG
Molecule: ribosomal RNA, 18 nt
Filed under: Frankliniella occidentalis (western flower thrips)
Lineage: Eukaryota; Metazoa; Arthropoda; Insecta; Thysanoptera; Thripidae
Description: partial 28S ribosomal RNA
Source: RNAcentral